Molecule: long non-coding RNA, 1372 nt
Filed under: Panax ginseng (ginseng)
Lineage: Eukaryota; Viridiplantae; Streptophyta; Magnoliopsida; Apiales; Araliaceae
Description: long non-coding RNA (PGIN_LNC009009)
Source: RNAcentral
UCCCAUCACAUACAGGCAGUAUUAUACAAACAUGUCAUCAUUACACAAACUAUAGCUGGAUACUCUGAUAAAAUUGACACUUGUGUACUGUUGUAGUUGUCCACCUCCUAUACUGCCUUCAUCUGUAAUACUCUUUCUCAAUAAGGGAUUGGAAAUUUAUCUCCGUGAACUGCAUUCAGUCUUGCUGCCUUCAGUCUGAUAUUUAUCUUCAUGAAGGCCUUCAUGGUUGCUGCCUUGCUGGUUUCAUUUGUCAAGUGAUUGUAAAAUUUGUGUACUCCGCUACCCUAACUGUAAUGUCUGUUUUCAUUGUCUUGUUAAGUGAUUGUAAUUAUUAUUAAGAAAUCAUUACUUUGAUCAUCAAACCAUUUGGAGGAAAUAAUUGAAAUAAAAAUAAUCUUUUGUUACAUCUGACUCCACUAACUCCCAUAUGACAAGCAAAGAUAAGAAUUGGGUCCAAAAUAACAUUUGAUACAUCUCCUGCAACUAUAUUAAGGAUAAAGUGAGCUUAGUUGAAAUCUGCAAACCUUUAAAAGGUAUGUACUAAAAUAUGUACAGAUCCUUAAAAGCAUUACAGUAGGCAAAAUGUAUUACAAUUCUCACAUACACUCAGAUCAAUCUUGAGUAUACUAGUGCAUUGCAUACUAGUGCAUUCAGAUCAAUCUUGGACCAAAACAAAUCAAAAUUGAGCCCAAGGAACACAAACGCCAAAAGUCUUUGAUGUGUGGAUCUACGAUGUCUGUAAUUUGCCUAAUAGUUUCAUGUAUUAUGUUGUGUGAUGAUGAAAAACUUAAAUUUGAAAUGUAAUGUGGAGAUGUUAUACUGCAACUCCAUUAUAAACUUUUGGGUACAUUUUUAAUUUCCUAAUAAAUGAAUAUGUUCCGGGCAUAAUGACAAAAAAUAGUGAGAACAAAAGAUUAUAGAGCACGUUGUUGCCUUUGUAUAACAAGAUACUAAUGUAAUGCUUUUAAGGAUCUGUACAUAUAUAUAGGUAGUAUGAUGCGCUAUAUGCAUAACUAGAUGCAGCAACAGCUAACAAAUUGGCCUCCAGACCAGGCAGCAUACGAUAUGAGAGUAGAAUGCCAAGAACCAAAGCACCUUUUUGUCGGAUUCAAGGAAGAAAGUACAAAAAUCCUAAACCCUUACCCGUUCGUGUUCAACUUCGGCCGGAAUCUUGGGAGACAGAGACAGAGAUAUUCAACUUGUGUCCAACGACCAGAAUCUCUUUGUGACGGAGACGCGAUGAUUUCGUCCAGAGUUUGUGAAAGAAAGACGAAGAGAAAGGAGGCCAAUUUCGUCCUGCGAUGUUUCCAACGUCCGGCGAUGUUUCCAACGUCCGGCGAUGAUUUCGUCCGGAGCUUUGUGUUCAAUUUCG